GCUCAGAACGAACGCGGGCGGCGUGCUUAAUACAUGCAAGUCGAACGAGAAAAUCCGGCUUCGGUUGGAUGAGUAAAGUGGCGAACGGGUGAGUAACACGUGGAUAAUCUGCCCGUACAUCCGGGAUAAUCCUUCGAAAGGAGGCUUAAUACCGGGUAAUAUUCCUGGGCGGCAUCGCUUGGGAAUCAUAGGCGGGGUAACCUGUCGUGUACGGAUGAGUCCGCGCCUCAUUAGCUUGUUGGCGGGGUAACGGCCCACCAAGGCGACGAUGAGUAGCCGACCUGAGAGGGUGAUCGGCCACACUGGGACUGAGAUACGGCCCAGACUCCUACGGGAGGCAGCAGUAGGGAAUAUUGCGCAAUGGACGAAAGUCUGACGCAGCAACGCCGCGUGGGUGAUGAAGUUUUUCGGAAUGUAAAACCCUGUCGGUGGGGAAGAAACGCACGAGUAGUAACUGCCUCGUGCCUGACGGUACCCACAAAGGAAGUCCCGGCUAACUCCGUGCCAGCAGCCGCGGUAAUACGGGGGGGACGAGCGUUGUUCGGAUUUACUGGGCGUAAAGGGCGCGUAGGCGGACCUUCAAGUCGGAUGUGAAACCCCCGGGCUUAGCUCGGGGCCUGCAUUUGAUACUGUUGGUCUUGAGUACAGGAGAGGAGAGUGGAAUUCCAGGUGUAGCGGUGAAAUGCGUAGAUAUCUGGAAGAACACCAGUAGCGAAGGCGGCUCUCUGGACUGAUACUGACGCUCAAGCGCGAAGGCUUGGGGAGCAAACAGGAUUAGAUACCCUGGUAGUCCAAGCGGUAAACUAUGGGUACUAGGUGUCGGGGGUAUCGACCCCCUCGGUGCCGCAGCUAACGCAGUAAGUACCCCGCCUGGGGAGUACGAUCGCAAGA
RNAcentral lists this ribosomal RNA (891 nucleotides) under uncultured bacterium. RNAcentral describes it as "bacterial SSU rRNA". It matches the Rfam family "Bacterial small subunit ribosomal RNA", at positions 22 to 893 of the family's 1533-position model. The record is from RNAcentral.